GACGAACGCUGGCGGCGUGCUUAACACAUGCAAGUCGAACGGAAAGGCCCUGCUUUUGUGGGGUGCUCGAGUGGCGAACGGGUGAGUAACACGUGAGUAACCUGCCCUUGACUUUGGGAUAACUUCAGGAAACUGGGGCUAAUACCGGAUAGGAGCUCCUGCUGCAUGGUGGGGGUUGGAAAGUUUCGGCGGUUGGGGAUGGACUGGCGGCUUAUCGGCUUGUUGGUUGGGUAGUGGCUUACCAAGGCUUUGACGGGUAGCCGGCCUGGGAGGGUGACCGGCCACAUUGGGCCUGAGAUACGGCCCAGACUCCUACGGGAGGCAGCAGUGGGGAAUAUUGCACAAUGGGCGGAAGCCUGAUGCAGCAACGCCGCGUGCGGGAUGACGGCCUUCGGGUUGUAAACCGCUUUCGCCUGUGACGAAGCGUGAGUGACGGUAAUGGGUAAAGAAGCACCGGCUAACUACGUG
This 468-nucleotide ribosomal RNA is filed under the name uncultured bacterium. Its description in RNAcentral is "partial 16S ribosomal RNA". It matches the Rfam family "Bacterial small subunit ribosomal RNA", at positions 28 to 507 of the family's 1533-position model. The record is from RNAcentral.